UAAUACGUAGGGUGCGAGCGUUAAUCGGAAUUACUGGGCGUAAAGCGUGCGCAGGCGGCUUUUUAAGCCAGAUGUGAAAUCCCCGGGCUUAACCUGGGAACUGCAUUUGGAACUGGAAGGCUAGAGUGUAGCAGAGGGGGGUAGAAUUCCACGUGUAGCAGUGAAAUGCGUAGAGAUGUGGAGGAAUACCGAUGGCGAAGGCAGCCCCCUGGGCUAACACUGACGCUCAUGCACGAAAGCGUGGGGAGCAAACAGG
Molecule: ribosomal RNA, 256 nt
Filed under: uncultured bacterium
Lineage: Bacteria
Description: partial 16S ribosomal RNA
Rfam family: Bacterial small subunit ribosomal RNA
Source: RNAcentral